GAAUUCCUUCUCUGCUCUCCUUCUUCGACUACCAAACAAAUAACCAGACACCUCAAAUCUUUCCCCUCUCCCUCUUGUCUGAUGAUCGGAGCCGGAAGUCCGGCUGUAAUUCCGCCCAACCACACACGCAUACAAACAAAACCCCCCACCUCUGAUCGAUCUCCUUGCCGGCGACAGCUGGUAGUCCGACACCCACACCCACACGCACCCGGAACCCCUUCCCCUUCUCGCUUUCUGUUCUAUCACCGGUGACCUCUCCAUCACACACCAUCUUUAAGCUUCCUCAAAAGAGACCACCACCACCACUGUCGGGUGGUGGUGAGCGACGGUGAAACCAGGGGAGAGGAGAGAGAGACAGGAGGAGAGAGAACGAGGGAUGGCGGAGCUCAGCAGCAGCGGCAGCGGUGGUAGGCAACUCGGUCCGGCGGUCGAGACUCGACCCGGUGGUCCGAGACCCGGUCCGGCGGUCGGCGACAAGGACCGGCGGUCCAUGUCUUUAUCUGGCGAAUUUCACCGUUUCAGGUCGGGUCUUUUUUUUCAGCUUCGGGUUCAGAUUCAAGGGUUCGGGUUUCAGUCAAACUCGGUCACAGGUCCGCAACUUUAGUUCGGGUUUCGGGUCAGCGGGUUCGAAGGUGGUUCAGAUUCAGUGGUUCGGGUUCUUGGUCAAAACCAGGCAACGAAGUCACAUGGUUCAACGGUGCAGGUUUUGGAUCGGCUCGUGUCGCGGUUCAUGCUUCGGGUGGACUCGGUUAACUGAGUCAACUCAUUCACCUCGGUCAAACCAAGUCAACUCGGUGAGUCGACUUGGUCAAACCUGGUCAACGCGCUAAGUCAGCUCGGUCAACCCAGUUGACUCGGUCAAUUCGGUCAACACGUUCGGCGUUUUCGACAUGGGGAUUUGGUAAAGUUUAACGGCGAAUUAAUUUGAAUUUAUAUAGUUUUAUUAAUUUCGUGAAACGAGCUCGAACCGGUUCAGAUUAGUAUUUAGUUACAUUUUGUCGUUUUUAUAAAAAUAUAUAGAUAUUGAUGAUUGAAAAAUUAU
Helianthus annuus (common sunflower) is the source of this 1042-nucleotide long non-coding RNA. RefSeq lists it as uncharacterized. Lineage: Eukaryota; Viridiplantae; Streptophyta; Magnoliopsida; Asterales; Asteraceae. The record is from RefSeq and is a predicted model, not a curated record. The transcript is spliced from 2 exons.